RNAcentral lists this ribosomal RNA (263 nucleotides) under uncultured Bacillota bacterium. Its description in RNAcentral is "uncultured Firmicutes bacterium partial 16S ribosomal RNA". It matches the Rfam family "Bacterial small subunit ribosomal RNA", at positions 80 to 339 of the family's 1533-position model. Lineage: Bacteria; Bacillati; Bacillota. The record is from RNAcentral.
UUGCUUAUCAAAUCAGUGGCGAACGGGUGAGUAAGACAUAAAUAAUCUACCCCUAAGCCUGGGAUAACUAGAGGAAACUUUAGCUAAUACCGGAUAGUUGAGAAUAAGGCAUCUUAAUCUUAUUAAAGAUGGGAAACAUCACUAAGGGAUGAGUUUAUGGCGCAUUAGCUAGUUGGUGAGAUAAGAGCCCACCAAGGCGAUGAUGCGUAGCCGAUCUGAGAGGAUGACCGGCCACAUUGGGACUGAGACACGGCCCAGACUCC